GCUCGGCCCCAGUCCCGCGGGCGGAAGGAGCGCUGCCGGGGGGAGGUCGCCACUCUCACCCCAGGCCCCGCGCCCGAGGCUGCCCUCUACGGCUCGGGAGCCGCCCCGAGCCCCGCCGCCCGCCUGCCUCCGCCCGGGUCUCAUCCUUGGGGGUGGCGCGGAGCUGCCGCGCCCUGGGGGAAAGUUCGAUCUGCGGACUUCCUCUGUGCGUCCAGCCUUGCGGAGGAGGCUGGGGGCCUGGGAGGUCUUGCCCUCUGGGAGCCGAGAUGGGGGCAAAGGCAGGGACACCCCUCCCGGAGGCGCGAAAUCCAAGGAGGAAGUGACACUUAUCAACCAUCCUGACAGAGGGGGCGCCCCAUCCGGCCCCUCCCACCCCACAGUCCCAGAAGCCACCGUGCGAGGGAUCUUCGCGCCCCAGGCUCGGAUGGGAGAGACCCCCCCAGGAUGCCGAGGGGAGGCGAUGGGGGCACAUUCAGGCCUUUGGACUGUCCUCCACCUCGGCGCUGAUCUUUGUCCCAGUAAUCACAGGUUUGUACGAUCGGGUCCGUCUCCUUUGGAUGGGGAUGAGAGCCGCUCACGAAGGAUACAACUUGCAGAACUGUGGACCACGUGGACUCCAAUCUUCACAAUUCAGUGAUGAACACACUCCAAGGAUGUUGAAGUGUCUAGUAACUGUCCAGGACCAGGAAGUUGUGAGUUGUGGAAGUUCAACAAAAGCAAACUACAUGGUUCCUACCAUCAGGAAUCUACAAUCUAUUGGGGAAGCAACAUUAAGACUGAAACAUUUGAAAUAACAUUGAAAUAACAAGACAGCACUGCAGGUCAUCAGAUGCUAGACAGCACGGUACAGAACUGACUCUUAGUGGAAUCCUGAAACGGGAGAGAGGAGUGAAGGAUCGAGUGUUUGGGGCAGGGCAUUGUGGAUAAGGCGAGAUGUGAGCUACAUCUUGAAUGAUGGAGAAUAAGAAUCAUAUUUAACAUCUAUUACGUGAUUACUAUGUGCCAAGCACUGUCCUCUGACUUUACUUACAUUAACUCACUUAGUCAUCAAGGUAGCUAUUAUCUAAUUUUACAAAUGAGGGAACAGAGAGGGUAAUAACUUGCUCAUCGUCACACAGCUAUCACAUGACUGCCCUGGGGUACAAACCCAGGCACUCUGGCUUCCGCCCACACUCUUAUUAAUAAUCACUGCCCCUUCUGUCUGCCUGGUAGCAAGAGCCAAGGGCCAUUUUCUGGUCAUGAUUAAAUUCCAAUCUGUUUCUUAGGUUAUAUUUUUACACAGAGCCACAAUGAACCCCAAACAUUACAGCUCUGGCUUCAUUACUGUGAUGAGUGCCUUAUGGGUGAAGUUACUGAUGAGAAAUUAAAAGUACUUUGCAAAGAACAGCACCAGCCUUAGUAACAGCAGAGAAAGUCUGCACAUAAUGAAGAGG
Non-coding RNA from Kogia breviceps (pygmy sperm whale), 1433 nucleotides. The record is from RefSeq and is a predicted model, not a curated record. NCBI's taxonomy places the organism in Eukaryota, Metazoa, Chordata, Mammalia, Artiodactyla, Physeteridae.